This 206-nucleotide ribosomal RNA is filed under the name uncultured bacterium. RNAcentral's name for it is "partial 16S ribosomal RNA". It matches the Rfam family "Bacterial small subunit ribosomal RNA", at positions 568 to 774 of the family's 1533-position model. The record is from RNAcentral.
AGCGCAGGCGGUGCGGCAAGUCUGAUGCGAAAGCCCGGGGCUCAACCCCGGUACUGCAUUGGAAACUGUCGUACUAGAGUGUCGGAGGGGUAAGCGGAAUUCCUAGUGUAGCGGUGAAAUGCGUAGAUAUUAGGAGGAACACCAGUGGCGAAGGCGGCUUACUGGACGAUAACUGACGCUGAGGCUCGAAAGCGUGGGAGCAAACA